GACGAACGCUGGCGGCGUGCUUAACACAUGCAAGUCGAACGGAAAGGCCCUGCUUUUGUGGGGUGCUCGAGUGGCGAACGGGUGAGUAACACGUGAGUAACCUGCCCUUGACUUUGGGAUAACUUCAGGAAACUGGGGCUAAUACCGGAUAGGAGCUCCUGCUGCAUGGGGGGGGUUGGAAAGUUUCGGUGGUUGGGGAUGGACUCGCGGCUUAUCAGCUUGUUGGUGGGGUAGUGGCUUACCAAGGCUUUGACGGGUAGCCGGCCUGGGAGGGUGACCGGCCACAUUGGGCCUGCGAUACGGCCCAGACUCCUACGGGAGGCAGCAGUGGGGAAUAUUGCGCAAUGGGCGGAAGCCUGAUGCAGCAACGCCGCGUGCGGGAUGACGGCCUUCGGGUUGUAAACCGCUUUCGCCUGUGACGAAGCGUGAGUGACGGUAAUGGGUAAAGAAGCACCGGCUAACUACGUG
RNAcentral lists this ribosomal RNA (468 nucleotides) under uncultured bacterium. RNAcentral describes it as "partial 16S ribosomal RNA". It matches the Rfam family "Bacterial small subunit ribosomal RNA", at positions 28 to 507 of the family's 1533-position model. The record is from RNAcentral.